This 253-nucleotide ribosomal RNA is filed under the name uncultured bacterium. RNAcentral describes it as "partial 16S ribosomal RNA". It matches the Rfam family "Bacterial small subunit ribosomal RNA", at positions 524 to 776 of the family's 1533-position model. The record is from RNAcentral.
UACGGAGGGUGCAAGCGUUAUCCGGAUUUACUGGGUUUAAAGGGUGCGUAGGUGGAUGUUUAAGUCAGUGGUGAAAGCUCCGAGCUCAACUCGGAAACUGCCAUUGAUACUGAAUAUCUUGAAUAUUGUGGAGGUUGGCGGAAUGUGUCAUGUAGUGGUGAAAUACUUAGAUAUGACACAGAACACCGAUUGCGAAGGCAGCUGGCUACACAAUUAUUGACACUGAGGCACGAAAGCGUGGGGAUCAAACAGG